AUGCACGCUGGCGGCGUGCCUAAUACAUGCCAGUCGAGCGAACAGACGAGGAGCUUGCUCCUCUGACGUUAGCGGCGGACGGGUGAGUAACACGUGGAUAACCUACCUAUAAGACUGGGAUAACUUCGGGAAACCGGAGCUAAUACCGGAUAAUAUAUUGAACCGCAUGGUUCAAUAGUGAAAGACGGUUUUGCUGUCACUUAUAGAUGGAUCCGCGCCGCAUUAGCUAGUUGGUAAGGUAACGGCUUACCAAGGCAACGAUGCGUAGCCGACCUGGGAGGGUGAUCGGCCACACUGGAACUGAGACACGGUCCAGACUCCUACGGGAGGCAGCAGUAGGGAAUCUUCCGCAAUGGGCGAAAGCCUGACGGAGCAACGCCGCGUGAGUGAUGAAAGUCUUCGGAUCGUAAAACUCUGUUAUUAGGGAAGAACAAAUGUGUAAGUAACUAUGCACGUCUUGACGGUACCUAAUCAGAAAGCCACGGCUAACUACGUG
RNAcentral lists this ribosomal RNA (496 nucleotides) under uncultured bacterium. RNAcentral describes it as "partial 16S ribosomal RNA". It matches the Rfam family "Bacterial small subunit ribosomal RNA", at positions 29 to 507 of the family's 1533-position model. The record is from RNAcentral.